AUUGAACGCUGGCGGCAUGCCUAACACAUGCAAGUCGAGCGGAAGCAGGGAACACCUGCCUGUUUCAUUGACGCGUCGCGGACGGGUGUGUCAUGUCUGGGACCCACCUUGAUGACGGGGGAUAAUUACUGGAACCGGUGGCUAAUACCGCAUAUCUUCUCAAGACCAAGGAUGAAGAGUGAAAGGCCGUCUUGCUGCCACUGAUCGCAGGAUCCGCUCGGCAUUAGCUAGUGGGUCAGGUAACGGCUUACCAAGGCCACGAUGCAUAGCCGACCUGAGAGGGUGAUCGGCCACACUGGAACUGAGACACGGUCCAGACUCCUACGGGAGGCAGCAGUAGGGAAUCUUCCGCAAUGGGCGAAAGCCUGACGGAGCAACGCCGCGUGAGUGAUGAAGGUCUUCGGAUCGUAAAACUCUUUUAUCAGGGAAGAACAUAUGUGUAAGUAACUGUGCACAUAUUGACGUUACCUAAUCAGAAAGCCACGGCUAACUACGUG
Molecule: ribosomal RNA, 497 nt
Filed under: uncultured bacterium
Lineage: Bacteria
Description: partial 16S ribosomal RNA
Rfam family: Bacterial small subunit ribosomal RNA
Source: RNAcentral